GCUAGUAGGCGAGUACUGGUCCGAUGUGUCCUCGGUGCUAUGCUUACCUUUGCUCUAACUGUUCUCAAAGUACCAAAGAAGCUACUCAGGGAGAUCGACAGAUGCCGGUGUAGAUUUCUUUGGAAGCAAGACGAGGCGAUCACAGGCGGUAGCUGCAAGGUUAACUGGUCCACGGUGUGCACUCCUACAUCACAUGGAGGACUGGGGAUCCUCGAUCUCAAGCGUUUCAGCCGCGCCCUUAGAUUGCGAUGGCUCUGGAUAGCCUGGACGGACCCUGAGAGGCCUUGGGUCGGCAUGGAGCUGCCAUGCAGCAGCAUUGACAAAACCCUUUUCACAGCGGCGACCACAGUCACCAUCGGCGAUGGCGUGAAGGCACUCUUCUGGCACUCCCUUGGUGCGGGCCGUGCACCCUGGCCAGUUCCUUCCCUCUCCUCUACUCGCACUCCAAGCAAAAAAACAGGACGGUGCACGAGGCUGUCACACACAAGACUUGGAUAA
Molecule: ribosomal RNA, 498 nt
Filed under: Triticum aestivum (bread wheat)
Lineage: Eukaryota; Viridiplantae; Streptophyta; Magnoliopsida; Poales; Poaceae
Description: partial small subunit ribosomal RNA
Source: RNAcentral